This is a long non-coding RNA of Myodes glareolus (Bank vole), 1057 nucleotides long. RefSeq lists it as uncharacterized. NCBI's taxonomy places the organism in Eukaryota, Metazoa, Chordata, Mammalia, Rodentia, Cricetidae. The record is from RefSeq and is a predicted model, not a curated record.
UCUUUCUUUCUUUCUUUCUUUUCCUUAACACCGAAUAUGUUGCUAGACUUUUAAUGGAUUCCUUUGUGUUUGGGGAUAAUUUUUUAAAUUCUUUCAUACCCUGAGAACACGACCAGUUGAAAACCAACUUUAAACUCCUUUGAGCUUUACAAUUUUCUGCUUUGUUCCUUUCUCUAGAGAUCUGCGAGCCAACGCCACCAAUUGGCCUCAGAAUGACCCUUUGUCCUCUCAAGUGUCAAUAGCACCAGUCCAUAGCUAGGGAGAAAAAUACUGCCAGAGUCAGGCAGACCAAACCUUAUAGGAAGAUGGGACACUGUUAGUUGCUGAUGCUCCUCUCCCUGGGAAAAUGUGAGCAAUGCCCACCCAUCUCAGCUGGGCACCAGCAAUAGACCAAAGUAAUGAUUCCACUGAAGCCUAGACUGAGCUAGAAAACUCAACUUUGUCUUGGAAGACUGUGUGCCGUAUAAGAAGGAACAAAACUGAGAAUUAGGAAAUCCUGACUUCAUGAACCGUUGUGUACCAUUUAAGUGUGGUUGUUACUAUUAAUAAGAACUGGAAGCGCAUUCAAAUUGGUUCUCUCCACUGUCUUGACCCUGAAGGUGAGCCACGUGGGGUGGAUCCUGGAUUUUCAGUCUUUCCGGCAGUGAGAUAAAGACUGCUGGUCGCAUUCAGGAAACAAAUCCUCUUCUGGGCAAAGACUCAUCAGGCAGCACCAGACUUCUCAGGGGUUGCAGGUCACUUCCGUGUUUUUAUACACCAGUGCUGCAGUGAAAGGGUGAAGCUUUGGGCAUUGUCAGCCAUAGCAGAAUCCAGAGAUGUCUUGAGAUGCGACUGAGGAAGACAUUGUCAUAACCUUUGGUUGAUCAUGAGGCUUGAUUCGCCUUUCACAGUCACAAAGCCAGCAAGAGGCUAGAGUUUGGCUGCCUAUUUCUUUGCCCAGUGCUCCUGGGGUGCCCAUUGUUUCCCACAUCUUAUAAGGUAUCUGUGAUGGUUAAUCCUGAUUGCUAAUUUAAAGGGAUUUGAAAUUCCCAUGGAAACAAAUCUCUGGUCAUGUCUU